This 397-nucleotide unclassified non-coding RNA is filed under the name Bombus terrestris (buff-tailed bumblebee). RNAcentral's name for it is "misc RNA ENSBTSG00005026238.1". Lineage: Eukaryota; Metazoa; Arthropoda; Insecta; Hymenoptera; Apidae. The record is from RNAcentral.
GUUCUCCACCGUCCUUCUCCGUGUCGCAACGGUGAAACAGCAAGCUGUUCUCGCUGCUAGAAAUAGAUAGCCUAGUUAGGUAGUAUACGUUCCCGCUCUAUUCUCGGUGCAGGCUAACUUUUUCCCCCCGUUAGCUCGCUUACCUGGCCAUACGAGAGUUUGCGCGCGCGAGUGCGAAUAUCCAGCCUCUCUUUCCUUGUAUAAGCGCGCCUAGGUCUUUCUAGCGCGUAACUGCGCCGCGAUUGCUUCACCCGCGAGUGCUGCCCCGUUCCAUUAUAUGUGCACGUGCGAUGUUACGCCGUUCCAAUUUCCUCUUUUGAUCCCGGCGAACAGAAACGCCCAUGCGUUAUAAUCAAAAUAUCACUCACGUAUCAACACCAAAUUCAAGUCCCGGUUC